CACAAUAGCUACUUGGUGAGGUAAUGGCUCACCAAGGCAACUAUGCGUAGCCAACCUGAGAGGGUGAUCGGCCACACUGGGACUGAGACACGGCCCAGACUCCUACGGGAGGCAGCAGUAGGGAAUCUUCCGCAAUGGACGAAAGUCUGACGGAGCAACGCCGCGUGAGUGAUGAAGGUUUUCGGAUCGUAAAGCUCUGUUGUUAGGGAAGAACAAGUACCGUUCGAAUAGGGCGGUACCUUGACGGUACCUAACCAGAAAGCCACGGCUAACUACGUGCCAGCAGCCGCGGUAAUACGUAGGUGGCAAGCGUUGUCCGGAAUUAUUGGGCGUAAAGGGCUCGCAGGCGGUUUCUUAAGUCUGAUGUGAAAGCCCCCGGCUCAACCGGGGAGGGUCAUUGGAAACUGGGGAACUUGAGUGCAGAAGAGGAGAGUGGAAUUCCACGUGUAGCGGUGAAAUGCGUAGAGAUGUGGAGGAACACCAGUGGCAAAGGCGACUCUCUGGUCUGUAACUGACGCUGAGGAGCGAAAGCGUGGGGAG
This 540-nucleotide ribosomal RNA is filed under the name Bacillus subtilis. RNAcentral's name for it is "bacterial SSU rRNA". It matches the Rfam family "Bacterial small subunit ribosomal RNA", at positions 237 to 768 of the family's 1533-position model. The record is from RNAcentral. Lineage: Bacteria; Bacillati; Bacillota; Bacilli; Caryophanales; Bacillaceae.